AGCGGCGCCUCGCGCGUCAGUCAAUCUGGCCAAUUGCGCGUCUUUUCCGCCUACCGCACGGCCCCGCCCCUGCCGCAGGAUCGAUUUACGGCCGCAGAGAAAAACCAAGAUUUCACUUUCAAGAUGGAAAGUCCGUCAGACUCAGCUGUGGUUUUACCUAGCACUCCUCAGGCCUCUGCGAAUCCAUCAUCUCCCUAUACAAAUAGUUCACGAAAACAAGUAUGAAAAUCUUUGUUCUUCCAGUGGAUCCAUUCUGUGUUUCUAAGUAUUGUGGCAGUGGUGGUUUAAAUUCUACGGAAGGUUGUUAAUUAACAUAAUGUAUAGCAUAAAUAAGUAGACAUUUUAUUAAGUAAUUUUGUUUUUCUUCUAAGGUGACAUAUAUGACACCCACCAGCCCCCUUCCAUAUUUUCCUCUUGAAUCAAUUCAUUUCAGUUUCAGAUUAGGCUAUUACAAUACUCCAAAUGGAGAAAGUUUGAAUCUGUGCAAUAUUA
Molecule: small RNA, 492 nt
Filed under: Pongo abelii (Sumatran orangutan)
Lineage: Eukaryota; Metazoa; Chordata; Mammalia; Primates; Hominidae
Description: processed transcript
Source: RNAcentral